This 468-nucleotide ribosomal RNA is filed under the name uncultured bacterium. RNAcentral's name for it is "partial 16S ribosomal RNA". It matches the Rfam family "Bacterial small subunit ribosomal RNA", at positions 28 to 507 of the family's 1533-position model. The record is from RNAcentral.
GACGAACGCUGGCGGCGUGCUUAACACAUGCAAGUCGAACGGAAAGGCCCUGCUUUUGUGGGGUGCUCGAGUGGCGAACGGGUGAGUAACACGUGAGUAACCUGCCCUUGACUUUGGGAUAACUUCAGGAAACUGGGGCUAAUACCGGAUAGGAGCUCCUGCUGCAUGGUGGGGGUUGGAAAGUUUCGGCGGUUGGGGAUGGACUCGCGGCUUAUCAGCUUGUUGGUGGGGUAGUGGCUUACCAAGGCUUUGACGGGUAGCCGGCCUGAGAGGAUGACCGGCCACAUUGGGACUGAGAUACGGCCCAGACUCCUACGGGAGGCAGCAGUGGGGAAUAUUGCACAAUGGGCGGAAGCCUGAUGCAGCAACGCCGCGUGCGGGAUGACGGCCUUCGGGUUGUAAACCGCUUUCGCCUGUGACGAAGCGUAAGUGACGGUAAUGGGUAAAGAAGCACCGGCUAACUACGUG